CAUCACUCAUCCUGUUACAAGACACUGAACCAUCAACAUGAUUUUGAGCUGUUAUUUUUAGAAGAGACCAUAUUUGGAUGAGGGCGAGGAGCUGGAAUGAUAUCCUGAUCUGACUGAGAAUCAGACGACACACUGUAGUGGCUACUUUUCAAUCACAAGCUGCUGGUUUUCCACACACUGACAGACAGGUCGCUCCGUUGAUGUGUGUGUGCGUGUGACCAAUCGCAUGUGAUGACAGAGAGUACACCAUCAGUCACCAUCAACCAUCAAUUUUAACACUGGCCUGACACUCCAGACCAAUCAGCUCGCCAUUCCACCAGGAAUUCUACUGGGGCUCCUGACCGCUGUGCUAAUGAUCACGAUGUUGAUGACUACAUGGUGUCUGUACCGAGGGCCGUGGAAUCAUUACUGUCCGGAAAGACAUGGAUGUUAAAUGUAACCACCGACAUCAUGUUGUUACAUGUUUACAGUAUUUAUGAAGGUGCUGCGCUCUCCCCCGCCUUUGUACUUCCUUGUGACGCCUUUCCAUUCUCCUAUCGUCCUACUUGUUGUCUCUGUAUUAAAAUGGCACACAAAUAGACGUGCUAUGCUUUUUCAUCUUUUUCCCCUUUCUUUCAGUGCCUGGCAGCACAGGGGUUGUUUUAUAUACGGAAGGUUUUGAAAGAUAAAAUGCCCAAAGUAAGCACCAACAGAAGCUCCUCUCUCCCACACUCAUCAGAAGUCCUGCCUUUAACCCCGCAACUCCUUGACAUCACACUGCAUCACCAUGUCACUCAAUCGCAUGAUUUAUACCCAUAUUCACGUUUGAAUAAGCCUGGCUCAGGCAUGUGUAAGCUGACCAGUCUCAGCAGACUGGGUAAUCAGGAAGGCGGCCUUAAAGAGAAAAACAGUAUGUUUCAGAAUACAGUGCUGCUGUAUGAGAAAGCUCAUUUGUAAGUCAUGUGAACCCAUUCUAGAAGCAAUCCAAAAUAAAAUCGUGAACCUGAAAA
This is a long non-coding RNA of Acanthopagrus latus (yellowfin seabream), 989 nucleotides long. RefSeq lists it as uncharacterized. NCBI's taxonomy places the organism in Eukaryota, Metazoa, Chordata, Actinopteri, Spariformes, Sparidae. The record is from RefSeq and is a predicted model, not a curated record. The transcript is spliced from 3 exons.